AGGUAAGCUACUAAGAGCGAAUGGUGGAUGCCUUGACUGGUAAAGGCGAUGAAGGACGUACUAGACUGCGAUAAGCUACGGGGAGCUGUCAAGAAGCUUUGAUCCGUAGAUUUCCGAAUGGGGCAACCCAAUGUAUAGAGAUAUACAUUACCUAUAUAGGAGCGAACGAGGGGAAUUGAAACAUCUUAGUACCCUCAGGAAAAGAAAUCAAUAGAGAUUGCGUCAGUAGCGGCGAGCGAAAGCGUAAGAGGGCAAACCCAGUGCUUGCACUGGGGGUUGUAGGACUGCAAUGUGCAAGAGGUGAGUUUAGCAGAACAUUCUGGAAAGUAUAGCCAUAGAGGGUGAUAGUCCCGUAUGCGAAAAACAAACCUUAGCUAGCAGUAUCCUGAGUAGGGCGGGACACGAGAAAUCCUGUCUGAAGCUGGGUCGACCACGAUCCAACCCUAAAUACUAAUACCAGAUCGAUAGUGCACAAGUACCGUGAGGGAAAGGUGAAAAGAACUGAGGUGAUCAGAGUGAAAUAGAACCUGAAACCAUUUGCUUACAAUCAUUCAGAGCACUAUGUAGCAAUACAGUGUGAUGGACUGCCUUUUGCAUAAUGAGCCUGCGAGUUGUGGUGUCUGGCAAGGUUAAGCAAACGCGAAGCCGUAGCGAAAGCGAGUCUGAAUAGGGCGCUUAGUCAGAUGCUGCAGACCCGAAACGAAGUGAUCUAUCCAUGAGCAAGUUGAAGCUAGUGUAAGAACUAGUGGAGGACUGAACCCAUAGGCGUUGAAAAGCCCCGGGAUGACUUGUGGAUAGGGGUGAAAGGCCAAUCAAACUUCGUGAUAGCUGGUUCUCUCCGAAAUAUAUUUAGGUAUAGCGUUGUGUCGUAAUAUAAGGGGGUAGAGCACUGAAUGGGCUAGGGCAUACACCAAUGUACCAAACCCUAUCAAACUCCGAAUACCUUAUAUGUAAUCACAGCAGUCAGGCGGCGAGUGAUAAAAUCCGUCGUCAAGAGGGAAACAACCCAGACUACCAGCUAAGGUCCCUAAAUCUUACUUAAGUGGAAAACGAUGUGAAGUUACUUAAACAACCAGGAGGUUGGCUUAGAAGCAGCCAUCCUUUAAAGAAAGCGUAAUAGCUCACUGGUCUAGUGAUUUUGCGCGGAAAAUAUAACGGGGCUAAAGUAAGUACCGAAGCUGUAGACUUGAUUUUAUCAAGUGGUAGGAGAGCGUUCUAUUUGCGCCGAAGGUAUACCGGUAAGGAGUGCUGGAGCGAAUAGAAGUGAGCAUGCAGGCAUGAGUAGCGAUAAUUAAUGUGAGAAUCAUUAACGCCGUAAACCCAAGGUUUCCUACGCGAUGCUCGUCAUCGUAGGGUUAGUCGGGUCCUAAGUCGAGUCCGAAAGGGGUAGACGAUGGCAAAUUGGUUAAUAUUCCAAUACCAACAUUAGUGUGCGAUGGAAGGACGCUUAGGGCUAAGGGGGCUAGCGGAUGGAAGUGCUAGUCUAAGGUCGUAGGAGGUUAUACAGGCAAAUCCGUAUAACAAUACUCCGAGAACUGAAAGGCUUUUUGAAGUCUUCGGAUGGAUAGAAGAACCCCUGAUGCCAUCGAGCCAAGAAAAGUUUCUAAGUUUAGCUAAUGUUGCCCGUACCGUAAACCGACACAGGUGGGUGGGAUGAGUAUUCUAAGGCGCGUGGAAGAACUCUCUUUAAGGAACUCUGCAAAAUAGCACCGUAUCUUCGGUAUAAGGUGUGGUUCGCUUCGUAUUAGGAUUUACUCCGAAAGCGAAGAAACUUACAACAAAGAGUCCCUCCCGACUGUUUACCAAAAACACAGCACUCUGCUAACUCGUAAGAGGAUGUAUAGGGUGUGACGCCUGCCCGGUGCUCGAAGGUUAAUUGAUGGGGUUAGCAUUAGCGAAGCUCUUGAUCGAAGCCCGAGUAAACGGCGGCCGUAACUAUAACGGUCCUAAGGUAGCGAAAUUCCUUGUCGGUUAAAUACCGACCUGCAUGAAUGGCGUAACGAGAUGGGAGCUGUCUCAAAGAGGGAUCCAGUGAAAUUGUAGUGGAGGUGAAAAUUCCUCCUACCCGCGGCAAGACGGAAAGACCCCGUGGACCUUUACUACAGCUUGACACUGCUAUUUGGAUAAGAAUGUGCAGGAUAGGUGGGAGGCUUUGAGUAUAUGACGCCAGUUGUAUAUGAGCCAUUGUUGAGAUACCACUCUUUCUUAUUUGGGUAGCUAACCAGCUUGAGUUAUCCUCAAGUGGGACAAUGUCUGGUGGGUAGUUUGACUGGGGCGGUCGCCUCCCAAAUAAUAACGGAGGCUUACAAAGGUUGGCUCAGAACGGUUGGAAAUCGUUCGUAGAGUAUAAAGGUAUAAGCCAGCUUAACUGCAAGACAUACAAGUCAAGCAGAGACGAAAGUCGGUCUUAGUGAUCCGGUGGUUCUGUGUGGAAGGGCCAUCGCUCAAAGGAUAAAAGGUACCCCGGGGAUAACAGGCUGAUCUCCCCCAAGAGCUCACAUCGACGGGGAGGUUUGGCACCUCGAUGUCGGCUCAUCGCAUCCUGGGGCUGGAGCAGGUCCCAAGGGUAUGGCUGUUCGCCAUUUAAAGCGGUACGCGAGCUGGGUUCAGAACGUCGUGAGACAGUUCGGUCCCUAUCUGCCGUGGGCGUAAGAAGAUUGAAGAGAUUUGACCCUAGUACGAGAGGACCGGGUUGAACAAACCACUGGUGUAGCUGUUGUUCUGCCAAGAGCAUCGCAGCGUAGCUAAGUUUGGAAAGGAUAAACGCUGAAAGCAUCUAAGCGUGAAGCCAACUCUAAGAUGAAUCUUCUCUAAGCUCUCUAGAAGACUACUAGUUUGAUAGGCUGGGUGUGUAAUGGAUGAAAGUCCUUUAGCUGACCAGUACUAAUAGAGCGUUUGGCUUAUCUUU
RNAcentral lists this ribosomal RNA (2908 nucleotides) under Campylobacter coli. RNAcentral's name for it is "23S ribosomal RNA". It matches the Rfam family "Bacterial large subunit ribosomal RNA". Lineage: Bacteria; Pseudomonadati; Campylobacterota; Epsilonproteobacteria; Campylobacterales; Campylobacteraceae. The record is from RNAcentral.